Molecule: ribosomal RNA, 253 nt
Filed under: uncultured bacterium
Lineage: Bacteria
Description: partial 16S ribosomal RNA
Rfam family: Bacterial small subunit ribosomal RNA
Source: RNAcentral
UACGGGGGGGGCAAGCGUUGUUCGGAAUUACUGGGCGUAAAGGGCUCGUAGGCGGCCAACUAAGUCAGACGUGAAAUCCCUCGGCUUAACCGGGGAACUGCGUCUGAUACUGGAUGGCUUGAGUUUGGGAGAGGGAUGCGGAAUUCCAGGUGUAGCGGUGAAAUGCGUAGAUAUCUGGAAGAACACCCGUGGCGAAGGCGGCUUUCUGGGACGGUACUGACGCUGAGACGCGAAAGCGUGGGGAGCGAACAGG